RNAcentral lists this ribosomal RNA (404 nucleotides) under uncultured bacterium. RNAcentral describes it as "bacterial SSU rRNA". It matches the Rfam family "Bacterial small subunit ribosomal RNA", at positions 356 to 776 of the family's 1533-position model. The record is from RNAcentral.
AGGGAAUCUUGCGCAAUGGGCGAAAGCCUGACGCAGCCACGCCGCGUGAGGGAUGAAGGCUCUAGGGUCGUAAACCUCUUUCAGCAGGGACGAAAAUGACGGUACCUGCAGAAGAAGCUCCGGCCAACUACGUGCCAGCAGCCGCGGUAACACGUAGGGGGCGAGCGUUGUCCGGAUUUAUUGGGCGUAAAGAGCUCGUAGGCUGUUCAGUAAGUCAGGUGUGAAAACUCGAGGCUCAACCUCGAGACGCCACCUGAUACUGCUGUGACUAGAGUCCGGUAGGGGAGUGUGGAAUUCCUGGUGUAGCGGUGAAAUGCGCAGAUAUCAGGAGGAACACCAGCAGCGAAGGCGGCACUCUGGGCCGGUACUGACGCUCAGGAGCGAAAGCAUGGGGAGCGAACAGG